Molecule: microRNA, 23 nt
Filed under: Sus scrofa (pig)
Lineage: Eukaryota; Metazoa; Chordata; Mammalia; Artiodactyla; Suidae
Description: ssc-miR-9814-3p
Source: miRBase by way of RNAcentral
CGGAAUGUUUUCUGAUUGUUGGG